RNAcentral lists this ribosomal RNA (407 nucleotides) under uncultured bacterium. RNAcentral's name for it is "partial 16S ribosomal RNA". It matches the Rfam family "Bacterial small subunit ribosomal RNA", at positions 28 to 525 of the family's 1533-position model. The record is from RNAcentral.
GACGAACGCUGGCGGCGUGCUUAACACAUGCAAGUCGAACGAAGUGGCGAACGGGUGAGUAAUACGUGGGUAACCUGCCCUCCCUUUAGGGAUAAGCCUUGGGAACUGGGUCUAAUACCGAAUAGAGGGGGAUGUGCUCGCGGCCUAUCUGCUUGUUGGUGGGGUGAUUGCCUACCAACGCGUUGACGGGUAGCCUGCCUGGGAGGGUGACGUGCCUGAUGGGGGCUGGGAUGCGGCCCAGACUCCUACGGGAGGCAGCAGUGUGGGAUAUUGCACAAUGGGCGAAAGCCAGUUGCGGCGACGCCGCGGGGGGGAAGAAGGCUUGCGGGUUGUAAACCGCUGUCGCGAUCGAACGGGGAGGUGGAGGAGAAGCGCCGGGUAACUGCGUGCCAGCAGCCGCGAUAAUA